GUAGUGGAAGAUGACUAUGGCAGCAUGGAGUUGCUUGUAGCAGGAAACAUUAUUUCACUAGACCUGAGCGUAGCACGAGUUUAUGAGCUGGUUUGGAAGAAAUCAAAUCAGAGUCUUCUACUUGGCACUGUUAGCUUCAAAUGCAGCUCCAUUGUCCUCCCAUGACUGUGACAUGCAGACUUCAGAAGAUAAGAGAAGACCCAGAGAUUGAGUUUGCAAUAGCAGAGUUUGCGAGAUUGACUUCAAAUCCAACGAAGAAGAGGUGGCUGCAGUUCUUGAUCUUCUAAACCACUGCUGCAAGAUUAGAGAGAGCAGGCGAGCAGCUUUAAGCUUACUUGUUGAAACAGCUAGGAGGGCAUCUUCUGUGGAUGCUAUGGAGCCAGCCGAAGGGAUGGAGAGUUUUGACUCUUGAAGCAGACCAAGGAAGGUGACAUCAUCACCGCUGCACAAGGUGCUUCUUUGACUGUCAGUAACUGAGGAAACUGGAACUUGGGAACAGGCCAAGAAAAUAGUGCUUGUGUUCUUACCAUCCAUCGGGGCUUAACAAGUCAAAACAAACAGCAAAGAAACACUGGGAGAUGGUUGCUAGAAUCUUUGUCUUAACAUACGGUGAGCCGGCAGCGACUUACUGUUGAGAAUUCUGUGAGUGUCGGAAUCUUAGUCUACGCUUGGUUGUUUGUGUUUGCUACAAAUUGAAGCUAUAAACAAUGGAGUAUAGAUUCAGAGACGUGAUUGUACUUGAGUUUCAAGAUAUUUAGAUCAUAUAGAUUUUAUUAUGAUUUAAUAUUAUAGAUUGUGCAACCAGAUUUUAUUAUUGUAGCAUGUACUUAGAUCAUAUAAGACUAGGCCAUUAAACUAGUAAUCUAAAUGAUUCUACCUCUAGUCUUUUUCGCUUUGCCCACCCACCAAAACAUCACAAGUUAAUCAUAUUUUAACAUAGAUUCAUUCACACAAUAAAUUAACUAGAACCUAAGAAUGUAUCAAUA
Brassica oleracea var. oleracea is the source of this 986-nucleotide long non-coding RNA. RefSeq lists it as uncharacterized. The record is from RefSeq and is a predicted model, not a curated record. NCBI's taxonomy places the organism in Eukaryota, Viridiplantae, Streptophyta, Magnoliopsida, Brassicales, Brassicaceae. The transcript has 3 exons.